UGAUCUCCAUCACAGUAUCAUCGAAAUACCUUUCAAUGGGCUGGAACAAUUCAAAUUCACACCCAUUAAAGAUCAUCGAUUUAGAAUGAUCCUUGUGAGUUCUCACAAUCCACUAGUGAUGUCAAUAGCAUAUGGUGGCAAUCCAGCAGAAUCAAAAAUAGAACCCCUAAGUGUAGUUACCAUGUGAUUCAGUUUCUUUAUCGUGAGUUCCCACA
This 215-nucleotide long non-coding RNA is filed under the name Elaeis guineensis (African oil palm). RNAcentral's name for it is "long non-coding RNA (EGUI_LNC053145)". Lineage: Eukaryota; Viridiplantae; Streptophyta; Magnoliopsida; Arecales; Arecaceae. The record is from RNAcentral.